UGGAGUAUAGCUCAGCGGUUAGAGCACUCCCCUGAUACGGGAGAUGUCGUAGGUUCGAAACCUUCUACUCCAA
Molecule: transfer RNA, 73 nt
Rfam family: tRNA
About the family: Transfer RNA (tRNA) molecules are approximately 80 nucleotides in length.
Source: Rfam